GGCGUCGCGGGCGAGAAGGGCAGCGUCCAGGCGCUCGGCCCCUUCCGCCCCGCCCGCCGCCGGCCG
RNAcentral lists this microRNA precursor (66 nucleotides) under Chlorocebus sabaeus (green monkey). Its description in RNAcentral is "miRNA (ENSCSAG00000020289.1)". The record is from RNAcentral. Lineage: Eukaryota; Metazoa; Chordata; Mammalia; Primates; Cercopithecidae.